RNAcentral lists this ribosomal RNA (233 nucleotides) under uncultured bacterium. RNAcentral's name for it is "partial 16S ribosomal RNA". It matches the Rfam family "Bacterial small subunit ribosomal RNA", at positions 102 to 334 of the family's 1533-position model. The record is from RNAcentral.
CGACGGGUGAGUAACACGUAUCCAACCUGCCGUCUACUCUUGGACAGCCUUCUGAAAGGAAGAUUAAUACAAGAUGGCAUCAUGAGUCCGCAUGUUCACAUGAUUAAAGUAUUCCGGUAGACGAUGGGGAUGCGUUCCAUUAGAUAGUAGGCGGGGUAACGGCCCACCUAGUCUUCGAUGGAUAGGGGUUCUGAGAGGAAGGUCCCCCACAUUGGAACUGAGACACGGUCCAA